AUGAGGGUAACACUUAUGCUACUCCUGACCCUCACGUUUCUCGUGCUACCAUCAGAUGCUGAAACAACAUGUAGUUCCAGGGAUUGGCCCCCGGGGGGUACAGCGUGUGAUAGAAGCAAGUGUGAGGACAAAUGUAAGAACUAUUAUAAUAACUAUUACCAGCAUUCUACUUGUGUAGGUCUCUGUAGUUGGACUUCCAUCUGUACAGACAAUGGGUGCCAUUGCUCAAUUUGUGAUGAUCACAGCCAUCCAUUGGGACAUUGA
RNAcentral lists this ribosomal RNA (264 nucleotides) under Triticum aestivum (bread wheat). RNAcentral describes it as "partial small subunit ribosomal RNA". Lineage: Eukaryota; Viridiplantae; Streptophyta; Magnoliopsida; Poales; Poaceae. The record is from RNAcentral.